AUUGAACGCUGGCGGCAGGCCUAACACAUGCAAGUCGAGCGGAGCGGCGGACGGGGGAGUAAUGCCUAGGAAUCUGCCUGGGAGUGAGGGAUAACGUCCGGAAGCGGGCGCUAAUACCGCAUGCUAUCAGAGGAGCCUAGGUCGGAUUAGCUAGUUGGUGGGGUAAAGGCCUACCAAGGCGACGAUCCGUAACUGGUCUGAGAGGAUGAUCAGUCACACUGGAACUGAGACACGGCCCAGACUCCUACGGGAGGCAGCAGUUGGGAAUCUUGGACAAUGGGCGAAAGCCUGAUCCAGCCAUGCCGCGUGUGUGAAGAAGGUCUUCGGAUUGUAAAGCACUUUAAGUAGGGAGGCGUUACCAACAGAAUAAGCACCGGCUAACUUCGUGCCAGCAGCCGCGGUAAUUC
RNAcentral lists this ribosomal RNA (407 nucleotides) under uncultured bacterium. RNAcentral's name for it is "partial 16S ribosomal RNA". It matches the Rfam family "Bacterial small subunit ribosomal RNA", at positions 30 to 526 of the family's 1533-position model. The record is from RNAcentral.